UACCUUUCUCGGCCUUUUGGCUAAGAUCAAGUGUAGUAUCUGUUCUUAUCAGUUUAAUAUCUGAUAUGUGGGCCAUCGGCUCACACGAUAUUAACUCUAUUUUUUAAGGGAGGAAGCCCAUCAAGAUAGCUUGCUAUCUGGGCUUUCGCGAGUCGCCCAUGCGUUGCACUACUGCACGGGCCUGGCUCAACCCGCCAAUCUAUUAGUUAAACUGUUGUCUCUCUUUCUAAUUAGUUUCUUUCUGUCGGUUAAAAGUAAAGCUGAGAAAAUAAGACUAGAUUUCACGUGACAAAUGAUGUCGGACUGAAGCUACAAUGGCAUUCCUGGCUAAACAUUGAGCUAUGGCUACAAAAUUAAUGGUGAGUACAUCAUAUGGUGCUCAUCUGAUGCACAUCUCGAAGUCAAUUUGCAGAUUUCUCAAUCAGCCAGAGUUCUUUAGCCAUUGUAAUCAUGCUAGUCAACGGGUCUCCUAAGUUGCAUCUCAAUGCUAUCUUAUCAGUUAUCACUCUUUAUAAUUAAGUUACUGAUUAAGAUUUCUUGACCACAUAACAUCUUUCUUGAGUACUGGAUGCAUAAGUAUAUGCCCAUUGAUAAGUCUUCCCUUGAUAAAAUGUAAACUCUGCAAUUUACACCUGAUGAGUUCUGUUCUGAUGAUGUCCCUGGAGCAGUCCUGGAAGAGUUUCAGAGGUAGAAGGAGACAUCUCUUUGAGCGUCUAUGAUACAAAGAAAAGGAUACAUGAGAGAUAAAGAGCUGGAGGAAUUAGACUCUCGUCUUACAUCCAUCAUUGACAACAUAUGGCUAUCACCAAAUUCCACACAGAACAGGAAUGUGAAGCAACAAGUUGAGCAAAUAGGUGCAGUAGUGGUUACAAAUAGAUUGGAAGCCAAAUAUCGAAUUCUUUAGGGAAAUCCCUUUGUUACCAUCUACUGAAACAAACCAAGGCUUGUCGAAGUUACAUGUAGCCUUAAGGACCAAGAAAGGAUAUAGAUGCAAACAGAAUCAGAGCAAAAAUCGUUGGAAACAGCCUAUAGUCUAUACUCUGCAAAUGAGAUAGCAACACAACAUUGGAGGAAAAAGAAAGAAGACAACCUAAAUCUUGGAACUGCUUUGACUACAUUAAUUUCCCACAAGGAUUCAAAUGUAAACAUAAUAGCAGCUCAGAUUGUACUAAGGAAAGGGCCUAAUUCAAGCAUCAUUUUUAGUUCUCUGAGCAAGAAAGCUCCUCCAAUAUUUCUUUGAUGGUUUUUGUAUAUGUUUCCAUCUUUCUCCACUGGGUUCUUACAUAGUUACAUGUGUACAUAUGUAUGUGUUUUGUCUUCAUAUGUGACUAAAGAAGAAAGAUGCCUAAAGAGAAGAAAUCUAAAGUGUAUUUUACUGAAGUCCCACAUCGACGAGUUAGAGAACGUUGGUCAUAAAGUUUGCAGUAUAUAUAAAGAAUCUAGGCUCAACGUUCAAAUCAUACCUUUCUCGGCCUUUUGGCUAAGAUCAAGUGUAGUAUCUGUUCUUAUCAGUUUAAUAUCUGAUAUGUGGGCCAUCGGCUCACACGAUAUUAACUCUAUUUUUUAA
Molecule: small nuclear RNA, 1567 nt
Organism: Camelina sativa (false flax)
Lineage: Eukaryota; Viridiplantae; Streptophyta; Magnoliopsida; Brassicales; Brassicaceae
Product: U2 spliceosomal RNA
Source: RefSeq, a predicted model, not a curated record